RNAcentral lists this ribosomal RNA (397 nucleotides) under uncultured bacterium. RNAcentral's name for it is "partial 16S ribosomal RNA". It matches the Rfam family "Bacterial small subunit ribosomal RNA", at positions 523 to 918 of the family's 1533-position model. The record is from RNAcentral.
AUACGUAGGUGGCAAGCGUUGUCCGGAAUUAUUGGGCGUAAAGCGCGCGCAGGCGGUCCUUUAAGUCUGAUGUGAAAGCCCACGGCUCAACCGUGGAGGGUCAUUGGAAACUGGGGGACUUGAGUGCAGAAGAGGAAAGUGGAAUUCCAAGUGGAGCGGUGAAAUGCGUAGAGAUUUGGAGGAACACCAGUGGCGAAGGCGACUUUCUGGUCUGUAACUGACGCUGAGGCGCGAAAGCGUGGGGAGCAAACAGGAUUAGAUACCCUGGUAGUCCACGCCGUAAACGAUGAGUGCUAAGUGUUAGGGGGUUUCCGCCCCUUAGUGCUGCAGCUAACGCAUUAAGCACUCCGCCUGGGGAGUACGGUCGCAAGACUGAAACUCAAAUGAAUUGGCGGGG